GACGGAGGAGGCAAGCGUUAUCCGGAUUUACUGGGCGUAAAGCGCUUGUAGGCGGCUUCGUAAGUUGGGCGUGAAAGCUCCGGGCUUAACCCGGAGAGGCCGUCCAAUACUGCGGAGCUCGAGGGUGCCAGAGGAAGGUGGAAUUCCUGGUGUAGCGGUGAAAUGCGUAGAUAUCAGGAGGAACACCCGUGGCGAAGGCGGCUUUCUGGGGCAUUCCUGACGCUGAGAAGCGAAAGCUAGGGGAGCAAACAGG
This 253-nucleotide ribosomal RNA is filed under the name uncultured bacterium. Its description in RNAcentral is "partial 16S ribosomal RNA". It matches the Rfam family "Bacterial small subunit ribosomal RNA", at positions 524 to 776 of the family's 1533-position model. The record is from RNAcentral.